CAGAGGCAUCACCAAUAUUAUUUUUGUGGAUGCAGAUUUAUUGUAUUUCAUGUGUUUUUAGAGUAAAAAAAGUCUACAGGAACAUAAAAAAACUACAAUUAGAAAAAAAUGAUGGCAGUAUACUUUUUCAACGGUGGAAAACACCAGAGUGCGCUCUAGCUGACAAGGAUUCAAGGUGACCACACUCACGGUGCAGUUUUUCAGCCCGCUGCUAACCUGCUGGGAAUAUUUAAUGUUCAAAAGAUCAUAAGAUUAUGCGUCCCUGUCACAGAAUCACAAAGAUAAAGACUAUAAGGGCAAAGCAUCCAGCGCCGGCCAGCAGGCAGCCUGCUCUGCCGCUUUUAUGCCGAAGAUUUCAUUUGGGAGCUAACACUAUUUUGCGGCUGUCGUUCUCUGCACACUGCCACCGCAGAGAGGCUGGGAAAAAAACAUAAAAUGGAAAAGUUAAAAGGAAAUGAAUAACACCCUCAGGCACUCCCCACACAACUGGCUUCUGAUUUCUAUUUGUUUCUCAAUCCGAGCCUCUGCUGAGCCGCCCAGCACACUGACCGACAACAGACA
This is a long non-coding RNA of Maylandia zebra (zebra mbuna), 561 nucleotides long. RefSeq lists it as uncharacterized. NCBI's taxonomy places the organism in Eukaryota, Metazoa, Chordata, Actinopteri, Cichliformes, Cichlidae. The record is from RefSeq and is a predicted model, not a curated record.